Molecule: transfer RNA, 69 nt
Filed under: Marmota monax (woodchuck)
Lineage: Eukaryota; Metazoa; Chordata; Mammalia; Rodentia; Sciuridae
Rfam family: tRNA
About the family: Transfer RNA (tRNA) molecules are approximately 80 nucleotides in length. Their secondary structure includes four short double-helical elements and three loops (D, anti-codon, and T loops). Further hydrogen bonds mediate the characteristic L-shaped molecular structure. tRNAs have two regions of fundamental functional importance: the anti-codon, which is responsible for specific mRNA codon recognition, and the 3' end, to which the tRNAs corresponding amino acid is attached (by aminoacyl-tRNA synthetases). tRNAs cope with the degeneracy of the genetic code in two manners: having more than one tRNA (with a specific anti-codon) for a particular amino acid; and 'wobble' base-pairing, i.e. permitting non-standard base-pairing at the 3rd anti-codon position.
Source: Rfam by way of RNAcentral
GGGGUUGUGGCUCGGUGGUAGAGCGCUCGCCUAGCAUGCGAGAGGCACUAGGUUCGAUACUCAACACCA